This 75-nucleotide transfer RNA is filed under the name Candidatus Poribacteria bacterium. RNAcentral's name for it is "tRNA-Pro". It matches the Rfam family "tRNA". Rfam says of the family: Transfer RNA (tRNA) molecules are approximately 80 nucleotides in length. Their secondary structure includes four short double-helical elements and three loops (D, anti-codon, and T loops). Lineage: Bacteria; Candidatus Poribacteria. The record is from RNAcentral.
CGGGGCGUAGCGCAGUCCGGCUAGCGCGCCUGCUUCGGGAGCAGGAGGUCGGAGGUUCAAAUCCUCUCGCCCCGA